AGUGAACGCUGGCGGUAGGCCUAACACAUGCAAGUCGGACGGCAGCACAGUAAGAGCUUGCUCUUACGGGUGGCGAGUGGCGGACGGGUGAGGAAUACAUCGGAAUCUACUUUUUCGUGGGGGAUAACGUAGGGAAACUUACGCUAAUACCGUAUACGACCUACGGGUGAAAGCAGGGGAUCUUCGGACCUUGCGCGAUUGAAUGAGCCGAUGUCGGAUUAGCUAGUUGGCGGGGUAAAGGCCCACCAAGGCGACGAUCCGUAGCUGGUCUGAGAGGAUGAUCAGCCACACUGGAACUGAGACACGGUCCAGACUCCUACGGGAGGCAGCAGUGGGGAAUAUUGGACAAUGGGCGCAAGCCUGAUCCAGCCAUACCGCGUGGGUGAAGAAGGCCUUCGGGUUGUAAAGCCCUUUUGUUGGGAAAGAAAAGCAGCAGGUUAAUACCCCGCUGUUCUGACGGUACCCAAAGAAUAAGCACCGGCUAACUUCGUG
This 492-nucleotide ribosomal RNA is filed under the name uncultured bacterium. RNAcentral's name for it is "partial 16S ribosomal RNA". It matches the Rfam family "Bacterial small subunit ribosomal RNA", at positions 29 to 507 of the family's 1533-position model. The record is from RNAcentral.